Molecule: long non-coding RNA, 620 nt
Organism: Tachyglossus aculeatus (Australian echidna)
Lineage: Eukaryota; Metazoa; Chordata; Mammalia; Monotremata; Tachyglossidae
Exons: 3
Source: RefSeq, a predicted model, not a curated record
UUUCCUUAGAAUUAUCAUCAGCCUGUAAUGCCUGAUUCAAUCAAGCGGUUUACAGUCAUUUGCAUGUCUUCUUGGGUGUGGACCUCCUAAGGCACAAUCAUCUUCAUAAAGGCUUGGGGAACUGCCUACUUUUCCAACAGGAUUUCUGUGAAGUAACUGGAUGAGAAAGGGCAACCUGAGUGUCAACAAAUGGACCAGACUCAGGAAUAACCACAAAUGAAGCUCCCUCUGAGGAACACCUGGAGAAGCUGGAUGAACUUCAUCAAGUGAGAAACCAGAAGAAUCCCGUGUCCCACGCAAGUUGCCUUGUACCACCUUUUGCUCUGCCCCAUCUCUCUCCCAAAGUCAGUACUUCCAUUUCACCCAAAACAAUAGAUUUCCCCCAUUCCCUUAACUGACUGGCCUCAAAGCCCAACUCUGUGGCCUCCUGGUGCUUGAGGUUCAAUCAGGGUUUCCUUUGGAUUGAUGUUUCAGCAUCUUAAAGUGGGAAAGAGGUAGAAUGAGCCCCUCAGCUGUAGUUUGACCUCUUUAUGUCUCCAGCUGGAGUCUGGGUAAUAGGGGGUAAGACUCGGGCAGCAGAACAACUAUAAAUCUGACUGAACUGCAGUAUGGACUGUGGU